GCAUAGCUCAGUGGUAAAGCAUCUGCUUUGUAUGCAGAAGGCUCCAGGUUCAAUCCCUGGCAUCUGCA
Non-coding RNA from Hemicordylus capensis (graceful crag lizard), 68 nucleotides. The record is from the annotation of a RefSeq genome assembly. NCBI's taxonomy places the organism in Eukaryota, Metazoa, Chordata, Lepidosauria, Squamata, Cordylidae.